AUUGCUUCUCGGCCUUUUGGCUAAGAUCAAGUGUAGUAUCUGUUCUUAUCAGUUUAAUAAUAAUUUUUUUUUAAAAAAAAGAGAGAAUAAAAUCAUAGCAUUU
This 103-nucleotide small nuclear RNA is filed under the name Marmota monax (woodchuck). RNAcentral's name for it is "U2 spliceosomal RNA". It matches the Rfam family "U2 spliceosomal RNA". Rfam says of the family: U2 is a small nuclear RNA (snRNA) component of the spliceosome (involved in pre-mRNA splicing). Lineage: Eukaryota; Metazoa; Chordata; Mammalia; Rodentia; Sciuridae. The record is from Rfam by way of RNAcentral.